CGAAAGCCUGACGGAGCAAUACCGCGUGAGGGAUGAAUGCCUAUGGGUUGUAAACCUCUUUUUUCAGGGAGGAAUCAAUGACGUUACCUGAAGAAUAAGCAUCGGCUAACUCCGUGCCAGCAGCCGCGGUAAGACGGAGGAUGCAAGUGUUAUCCGGAAUCACUGGGCGUAAAGCGUCUGUAGGUGGUUUGAUAAGUCAACUGUUAAAUCUUGAGGCUCAACCUCAAAACCGCAGUCGAAACUAUUAGACUAGAGUAUAGUAGGGGUAAAGGGAAUUUCCAGUGGAGCGGUGAAAUGCGUAGAGAUUGGAAAGAACACCGAUGGCGAAGGCACUUUACUGGGCUAUUACUAACACUGAGAGACGAAAGCUAGGGUAGCA
This 379-nucleotide ribosomal RNA is filed under the name uncultured cyanobacterium. RNAcentral describes it as "bacterial SSU rRNA". It matches the Rfam family "Bacterial small subunit ribosomal RNA", at positions 376 to 770 of the family's 1533-position model. The record is from RNAcentral. Lineage: Bacteria; Bacillati; Cyanobacteriota.